RNAcentral lists this ribosomal RNA (506 nucleotides) under uncultured microorganism. RNAcentral's name for it is "bacterial SSU rRNA". It matches the Rfam family "Bacterial small subunit ribosomal RNA", at positions 9 to 507 of the family's 1533-position model. The record is from RNAcentral.
GAGUUUGAUCCUGGCUCAGAUUGAACGCUGGCGGCAGGCUUAACAUAUGCAAGUCGAGCGGGGGAGAUUGCUUCGGUAAUUGACCUAGCGGCGAACGGGUGAGUAAUACUUAGGAAUCUGCCUAUUAAUGGGGGACAACAUCUCGAAAGGGAUGCUAAUACCGCAUACGCCCUACGGGGAAAGCAGGGGAUCACUUGUGACCUUGCGUUAAUAGAUGAGCCUAAGUCGGAUUAGCUAGUUGGUGGGGUAAAGGCCUACCAAGGCGACGAUCUGUAGCGGGUCUGAGAGGAUGAUCCGCCACACUGGGACUGAGACACGGCCCAGACUCCUACGGGAGGCAGCAGUGGGGAAUAUUGGACAAUGGGGGAACCCGUGAUCCAGCCAUGCCGCGUGUGUGAAGAAGGCCUUAUGGUUGUAAAGCACUUUAAGCGAGGAGGAGGCUCCUGUAGUUAAUACCUACAGAGAGUGGACGUUACUCGCUAGAAUAAGCACCGGCUAACUCUGUG